AAAAAAUCGUUUAGGCGAGACAAAAUGACACUCAAGAGGAAGGUGUAGAUGAGUCUCGGCACGCGCCGAUUUUUGCAAACAAAGAAGUCGAUAAAGAUCUUAUUUUUUUGAAAUGGGUGGUCGUGGGUGCACUUUUAGAU
Caenorhabditis elegans is the source of this 140-nucleotide non-coding RNA. The record is from Ensembl. Lineage: Eukaryota; Metazoa; Nematoda; Chromadorea; Rhabditida; Rhabditidae.